GUCCACGCCGUAAACGAUGGAUGCUCGGCGUCCGUGGGGGAUACCCCGUGGGCGCCUCAGCUGACGCGGAAGCAUCCCGCCUGGGAACUACGAGCGCAAGCUUAAAACUCAAAGGAAUUGACGGGGCCCGCACAAGCAGCGGAGCGUGUGGUUUAAUUCGACGCAACACGCAGAACCUUACCCAGCCUGGACAUGGACCUGCAAGCGCAAGAGAUUGCGACGCCUUCGAGGGUGGUCCACAGAUGCUGCAUGGCUGUCGU
This 260-nucleotide ribosomal RNA is filed under the name uncultured bacterium. RNAcentral describes it as "partial 16S ribosomal RNA". It matches the Rfam family "Bacterial small subunit ribosomal RNA", at positions 793 to 1055 of the family's 1533-position model. The record is from RNAcentral.